Non-coding RNA from Seriola aureovittata, 384 nucleotides. Lineage: Eukaryota; Metazoa; Chordata; Actinopteri; Carangiformes; Carangidae. The record is from the annotation of a RefSeq genome assembly.
AUGACUUUGGUCUCCGUCCUCAUCUGGACUCUCCUCUGCUGCUGCUUCACAGAGUCCAGAGGACAGGUCACAGUGACUCAGUCUGGAGCAGUGAGAUCUGCUCUGGGAGGCUCCGUCACCAUCAGCUGUAGAACCAGUCAGGAUGUUCAUGUUUAUAGCAAUUACCAGUAUUUAAACUGGUACCAACAGAGAGAUGGAGAAAAACCUAAACUCCUUAUUUACGCUGCUUCCAUUCGAGCAUCAGGGAUUCCAGGUCGUUUUACAGGCAGUGGAUCAAACUCUGACUUCACUCUGACCAUCAGUGGAGUCCAGACUGAAGAUGCAGCAGUUUACUACUGUCAGAGUCUCCACUCUAUCAACAGUCAGCUUGUGUUCACACAGUGA